GUUUUGCAAAAAGCAAAGGAUAUAAUGAUAUCGAUGUUAUUAUAUACACCUUGGGAACAAAUGCAUCGCAAUGUAUGAAAAGACAAGUGAGAAAAAUAUUUACAAUGCUAACUCUAAUUACCUCCUCUAAAAAGCAGAGAUGAUGAAUUUAUUCGUGAAAUAUUUCGAGCGACAAGUUGAUUAUUGAAGUAGUAGUUAAAGAGAAGGAAAGAAGGGAUAAGAAGGAAGGCAAAUGCAUCACUUACGAAUUGCACUUAAAAUCCGCUCGUGCGUUUGCCCUCGAGUGUCGUUCUCGCACUUAUUUUUUCCCUUUUUCGACACUCCUAUGAACUCUCAAAGCCCUCUUGUUUUCAAGACACAUUUAGGGUGGCGCUGGCGCUCUUUAUUUUCGUCUGUGAGGGCCCGCCUUUGCCACUGAUAACUCUCUUGGGUACAACGAAUAAGGUAAACAGCGGAGCGUUCGAGACGACGAAGGAGAGAUAGAGUGCAGAAAGAGAAAAAGAGAGUGAAGCGGUGCUUGAAAACUACAAUAAAGGAGCGCGAAAUAGCCGGAGCUGUUUAGACUCCUCGUCUUUCUACGUUUUGCUCCUCCAACGAAUAGGACUUCUCUUCUACCGCUAGAUAAUUAUAAUUCUUUGAAAAACUACUAGAGAGCUGCUCUUCCCUUCAUUUCUCUCCUUCAACGCGAAACGAGAAUAAGAUUUUCAAGGGAUGUAUAUAGGCCUUGUAUGUAAAAAAUUCCUCGAAUAAAAUAAGAGAAAUCUAUGUUUGAAUUCGAAGUCAAUCUCCCCGUACUUAGACAUUGCUGAAUGGAAUAAUUUGAUUUGGUACUGUUGGUACCAUGAAAAAGAAGAAGGCAAAGCGAGGAGAAAUAGCGAGAAAGCUUUGUUCCGAUGACCUUUAUGCGCUUCAAGGUAAAGAAUAAACAUCGAUUUACAAGCAGUCGCGGAAACAGAAUGUACGUCUGUUUUAAAUAAAAUAAAAGACGAUUUAAAUAGAUGAAGCUUUUUUAUCCCGUAGUACACUUUUAUUAAUUUUUAUGAAUUCCUUUGAUCUUUGAAAGAAUUUCAUUAAAGCUACUAUACGUCCAACAAUUUGUAAAAUAACAAAGAUGAACAUGAAUAUCUUAUACAUAUCAUUCUUAAAAAAUUUGCACAAUAUUACCUGUGGCUUACCGGCGAAAAUGCAUAUUUAAAACUUACGAAAAUGUGACGAUAUAUUCUAAUAUUUCACAAUAUUGAGCUUGAGAUUAUUACUAUUAUUAAUUGUGAAAAUUUUCAAUAAUUCCAAAAGGAUGCGACGAAUCGCUACGAGUAAUAAUACUUUUUAUUUCGAAUAUCUAGGUGCGCAUAAGUUGGUUUGAGUAAUAUAAGCUCGCUUGUAAACUUCGAUCAAACUCGAAGUCGGCGAAAGUGAGGGUCGAGGGGUGGAAACAAAACAAAUCGAGAGUAAAAGCGGUGCUUGUACAGAUACAAACAGCCGGCAAAAAGAAUAUACCUAUGUGUAUGAGAGUACAGAAAUGCGAGGAAAAGUCAUAGAAACAAAGAGGAAAGCUGAAAGAGAGGAGGAGAAGGAGAUUUGGGCGAGACGAUACAGGGAAGAAGUCGACGUAAGCGUAGUAAAAUCUAUCGAAUCAGUUUAACGAGUGUACGAGGGUGAUAAAUCAGUUGGCGUUGUUUUUUCGUCGUACACGGACGAGGGAGUAAGCAGAGGAAAAAGAAGAGGAGGAGAGAACGUAGGAUGAGGAGGAUCAGCAGAGUGCAGUACCGAAGGAGAAGGAGGAGGAGGUGAAAGAGGGGAAUACGCCACACAAUAAAAGCCGUUGCCAGUAGCGAAUGGGAGGGCAGAUGCAUUUUACGAGCUGUAGUGCACCAAUGUCACCUUCACCACCGACGACCUUUCUUCUCAUCCCAUCUACUCUACGCUUUUCCACCCUUUCUCUCUCUCUCUCUCUCUCUCUCUCUCUCUCCUUCCAUCUCGCGUUUAGUGCUCUUACGUGAAUUUGGACGUACGCAGGACAGCAAGGGCGUCCGGCGAACGCGUCCAGCGAAUUGAUUUCAGUUAUUUUCCGAUCAUGUAACUUGUCGAGGCUUUUGCAUGGACAAUUGAUUAUUAUUGCUAUUCCGAUACUCGGUCGGCUGAUCGACUGGAGUAGUGCUCGAUUUUGAGCCGACAGCAUCACUAAUUCUAUCUCCGUCCCCUCAGAGUUUUGAUUAGAAUUCAGCCAUCCAUUGAUAGAUAUUGUUAAAGACUUAGAAUAGUUGCAAUACUAUCUAGGAGAAGAUCUUUGAUGUUACUUCUAAGAAUAUUGAAUUCGACGUCUCUUUAAGGAGAGAAGAAAAAAUAUCAGAGAAUAGGUUAUCAUAGUCUUUUUAAUCUCUUGAAUAAUUCUCAUACUCACGAUCUCGAUCGACCUCGGUUUUUAUAAAUGAUCGACCUAUCGUAUUCUUUUCUCUUCGAAUUUGAUAAUAAAUACGCUAUUGUUGCCGUCGCUAUCGUCGUCGUAGCAAACCUUAUUUCUGUCAUAUAAUGGAAUAAUUAAAGCACAUCGAUAGGACAUAUUCUGUUGAUUGCAGAUUGAUUCUACGAUCGCAGUAAUAAGAGGGCAUAUCUUUGAUUGAUUGUUUUGAAAAGCAUUAACUAAACAUAGAAUAAUCAACAUUCAAUCAUCGAAUAAUCAAGAAAUUCGAAGUUAGAUAUAGUUUUAUAUAAUUUCUAUUUCAUUUUUCCUAACUAGUAGUAGACGUUAAAUUAUAAGAAAAUGAAUUUUUAGAAAAAUUCAAUGUUGAUUCGUGAAAAAGCGGAUAAUAUAAUAGCCAAUAUGCGUCCCAUGAUCCAAUGCAUUCACCAUUCACUUAUUCGUGGCUUCCGAAAAAACCCAGUUUUAUCAAUGCGUUUUUCACGCGCUCUAAAGAAACCCGAAAAUAGUUCAAGCUGCAAUGUGUUCUCUCUACUUUUUAAGUUGCCAUAUUUUUGUUCUCGCACGUUCACGAGUAAACUUUCCUCCUCAAACCGGUUAGCCCUCUUACUAGGAUCUCAUAAUAUACACCUGUGUCUGGACUAGAAGGAGAUAACGCGCGUGUAAAAGAAGACGAUACGCAUGUAAAUGGUGAGCGGUCUACGAUGGAAUCGGAAUCGUCCACGUUUUUCUAAUAUCAAAUGCAGACACUUUACGUUCCGUACGAUCUACCCGACUUCCUGUGCAAACGUACAGCAACGAGUAACCGGCUGCGCGAUUAAUUUUUAUGUUACACCAAUUCCAUCGCAAUUUCACGUAUUUUAUUCGAUUACUGGUAGGAGAAAGCUUCGAUACUAUAGUCGAACAUUUUGUGUCUGUCUGUUUUCAAAAACAUCGUUCUGUCUGUGACAAUCGAGCGCGCGCGAUUUUCAUUGUGAAUUUCAUUGCAAUUGGCACGGCGGCGGCGGCGGCGGCGGCGGCGGCGGCGGCGGCGACGGCCUAGGCUACCAGUGUCUUUGAGCCCGUUAAUUUCGAGAGGCAAUGCGGUGAAAUCGCGACGAAUGCCACACCAAUUGAAUACACAGAGCCGGAGGAGAAGAGAGAUAGAUAGGUAGAUGGAGAGAUAGAUAGAGGGACGGAGAGAGGGAGAGGGAGGGAGGGAGAGAGAGAGAGAGAGAGAGAGAGAGAGAGAGAGAGAGAAAGAAAGAGAGAGGGAGUGUGCUUCGGUUAAAUGCACGAUUUACGCAUCUGGAUGGACACGAGUCCCGUCAUUGGCUUUAUUGCCAGUAAAGGCUAUACCGGUGAACGGCUAUGGAGUAGCAGGCACCUGUGACGCGUCUGGAAACGCAGUUAAAUUGUAUGCCACUGUACGGACGCUGCAAACGCUGCGACGGCGAAGUUAUACUACAAGAAGGAGAGAGUGGAAGAAGCGUAAGAAAGAAAAAAAGAAAGAAGGCAUAGAAAAAACGAAAAGUAAGAGGAAGGAAGGAAACGACGAGAAAGCUGAGGAGAGGCAUCGAUAAAUCAAUGGAAUAUGGUAAUGCAGCAAUUUCAAUAAUUUAAAUAUGUAUGAAGGAAAAUGGAACAAUCUGGAAGGCAGGAAUCUGCCUGAGUGUGGCACAUUGAAUCGCGUCUAAUGAGACGCCUCGCGUCCUACAGAAGGGAAUAGUCCUGUUAUCGUUCCGCGCCGAUCUUCCACCACCCUUCGCCAUCCCUCUUUCCCACAUUUUCUUUCUUCGCGAAUCUUUCCUUUUGCUUAUGUCAGAUAGGGAAAGGUGGUAGUAUAAAUAAAACAAAUUCCGAGCAUCUCUCAACUCUUCUUCCCCCUUACUUCUUCUCUUUUUCCCGUCAAAUCGUACGCCGUACGCGUACACGGAACGUCGUGAAAAGCGCGUAACGUGCCUCGUUAUUCCGCACUCUUGCCGGCGAACGAAACGACGUUCGAGGUUUGACUGCAGCGUUAUAUCGAAGAAAAGAGGGGGAAGAUGUCACCCGGAUAUCUGUCAGGAAUUGGUUUUCCCGCUGGUGGAUAGACUCAAGGAUGGCGAGGCUGAACAGAGAACGUAUUCAAAAGACACGAUUAUGGAUGGCAGAAGGGAGAGAGAAGAGAAGAAGGAGGACCGACAGAGUGGAGUUACGUACGAACUUCAAUCCGAAUCUACCAAAACGUUAUGCUACGAAGGGAAUCCUUCUGCAGACGUAAAAGAGCCCUAGAAUUUUCUGCCUUUUUCCUUUGUCGCUUCUCCUUAUCGUAGCCCUUUUACCAUUUCUCCUUUAAAAGUCCAUACUCUUACAAAGUUGUAAACUUUUGUAUUCAAAGUUUUGUGUUAUUUAACCUUGACUUUGGAUAACAUCCGAUAUAACAUUAUUAAGAAAAGAAUUUUCUGACGAUUCGAUACAGAAAAAAUAUUCAGAAUUUUUUCGUAUAAUCAUAUAAAAUUACAUAAUAAAAAUCACUAAAACAUGAGUCUCACUCAAACCAUUAAUAGGAAGUACAUAUACAUUACUCGUAGUCGAUUACGAGAAAAGAUCGAUUUUGAUUUCUAUGAGGCUACAAUAGCUUCGUCGACCAGGUUGCGGUUCACCAUCCUCACGUAUUCCUCAUCCCUUUUGACUUUUCCAUCUCGUACACACGCGGAUGCGCAUGAAAUGUGUCGCAUGGCAUCCAUAAAAAUGGUGAAAGCGCAAAAUGGAUGGGUAUUGAAUUUUAUGAAAAUUAAAACCGAUUCCGUCGACAGGGCUGCUUCGAUAUCUCUCCCUCCCAUCCUUCCGUCCUCCCUCCCACUCCCUCUCUCUCUUUCUCUCUCUCUCUCCCUCUCUCUCUCUCCUUCUCGUAUGAAAGUACAAACUCGUAUCGUGAACGCUGAAACGUAGAAUCGCAAAUUCGAUCGCCGCAAUGUAGUUAAAAAAUAACAGCAGUUAAUUCAACACAAUGGCGGAAUUCGAUUACAAAGAUAUCGAUUUCCUUCUCCAGUACAUAUAUCGUUUUACUCUCAAAUUACGACAGAAGCGCGAAACAAUGAAAUAGAAACGUUUAGAGCAUCGUUUUCCGAGGUGCUUCGAUGUAGACGAACAGACGCUCGUUUUGCUUGAGCGAAACGUUGUAUCAUAAACGUAAUAUUUUAAUCAACGUCGACGUUGAAUAUUCGCUACAGUAUCGUUUUCCGUCGUUUCGACGACAGCACGUAUCAGCCAGCAGUUGUUGGAAAUCUACUCUCGUGCAGAUUUUCUCAAGGAUCUCUAAUCACAUAAAGUAGAGGAAGAUUAGUCUGGUAAAAGAGACAAAAGAUAAAGAGAACACUAGAGAAAGAAUGAGAGAGAGGGAGAGAGAGAGAGAGAGAGAGAGAGACAGGAUAUGAGUACACUGAAGUGCAUUUAUGUAUAUGUAGAAUAUUUUGUGAAUAUAUAGCUACAUGUGUACUUAUACACGUGUAAGAGACCUUCUAUCAUACAAGCUAACGGUACACUAUUCGCUCCGAGUCCGGUUGCGCACGUGCUUUGUCCCUUCAUGCAAUUAUUUACAGGUCACGUAUUUAAAAGGACGCCUCGAGAGUGUGUCGCCAUUGCGCUCAAGAGAGACAAGCAUAUACGGGAGAUACGUUUCCCUCCGUUGAACGUCCUUCGUGAGUUCUCCCCGCGGCUGCGGCUUUGCCUUUAAUUGCAAACGUGAUUGGUCGCAGCCGUGCGUUUCAUCCCUGCGGUUGAUUUUGUCCGGAAUGAGGAUGUGUCUCUGGAUGUGCCCCCGGGCGACUUCACGUGAGAUUAUUCGAUAAGUCCGAGGAGCAAUACGGAUUAGAAAGCUACCGAAUUACGAGUAGAAUACUUCAAGAAAAAUCGUUAGAGGAAACAGCAGAUAUGCACUGAUAAAUGUAACACACAACGCGUAAAAAAAAAAGCGAAGAAGGGGAGAAUGAAACCAAAAACAAUUAGACACACUAGAAAUCGCAAGAAGAUAACGGGAGGCAAGAGAAGAAAGGAAGGAAACGAAUUCGACGUAAAUGGGAUCUAGUUUAAAUUAGCAUUCCCAGCAAGAUUCUUCUGUGUUCCUCUGCCGAGUUCUCUCACAAGCGAACGCGCGUCAUUCUUUUCGCCUAUCUGAAACUAAUUUGAGGCCGUCCAAGACGAGGAGUGCGGAGUAGCUGGGGGGUUUAAGUAAUUUAAACGUAGCGUGGUGCAAUUAGAAGGAAGCUUCGGUGCUCCAGGGCAUUUGAGGAGGGGGUGAUUUAGGGAUACUAUCUUCUAGCGAAGAAUAAGAGAGAGAGGGUUAACUGUAACGUAUAUAAGACGUACAGAGAGAGAGAGAGAGAGAGAGAGAGAGAGAGAGAGAGAGAGAGAGAGAGAGAGAGACGGAAGAAGGGAGAAAAGGCACGGUGGAAAAGGAAGAUGGUAGGAAACGAGGAGGGAGAAUGAGAUACCAGGCAGGUAACUUCUGCUAAGUUAGCUCACACCUACCCUGCUAAGGGAAGAGUAGCACAGGAAGAGAAGAGGAGCAAAGGGUCUUGAAAUAUACGUGCAAGGAUGCAAAAUUUAUGCGUAGCCACACCUGGUUAGUGCUUACAUGCGAAAUAGUCUCAUAAAUUUCCAUACGCGCAGCCAAACCAGCCUUUAAAUCCUAGCGGUGCCGAAAGCCAGAAUAUUGGUUAACGUCCUCCCUCCUCUGACUACAUAUAUACAUCCUCCAUCCAUUCCCUCUACCUGGCUUUUCCGAUUUUUUAUUCUAGCCUCGAGGUCAAUGCCAAAAAGAAACGAAAAUAUUGAGCCGAUUUCUGACUUUUUCAAGUACGUGCAGUUAUCGAUACGCGUAUUUGUUUUGUCACUUUUUUCUUUUUUUAUUGCAAAGCAUAUACAUCUCGUUAUUUUACAAUAAAAUAUCUACAAUGAAAGAUACGUGUUUUUCUACCUACUUCGUGAAAACCUAAGAAAUAAUUAUUACUUUUAAAAAAUUGUUUUAAAUUUCACAUUAAAAGAUAUAGUACGCUCGAUUUUAAAUAACUUUUUAACUAAUAACCAUCACUCUUUACAAAAGUACAACAUUCUCGUUAUUGCGAAAGCUAUUAUGUUCGAAAGUAACAUCAAAUCGGUAAUUUUCUAUACGUCGCCAGAAACCUAAUCUUCCUUAUCUUGAACUUAUUAUACACGACUACAUAAAGAAAAGCACGAAGAUUGAAAUAUGAGAUGGUUUCCAUGGAAAGGAAGAUAGAGUUUUCCACUAAUCAGUUUUUCUUUAUAUGUAUAUUGGUGUGGAUCCUUCAUCUUUUAAAGCAUGAUUAUAAUAGACUCACAAAAGGGGUGGUUGUCGUGCUGUCGCAUUAAAAAAGUCAAGCGAAAACAGACGAGAGCAACAAAACGUGCAGUGAGAUCUGGUCUCGACAUGGGAAUCUGUCGAUCGCUGUCAAACUACGAGAGGGGUUGCUGUAGAAGAGAGAGAGAGAGAGAGAGAGAGAGAGAGAGAGAGAGAGAGAGAGAGGGUGGUGUGAUUGUGCGGUCAGCACCAGCAAUCAAUGCCUCUGCAUACGGCACGCACGGAAUCCGAUAACAUUGCUUUCCCCUCACCCUACUUUUCUUUCAAUCCCUCUCAGCACCUAACCGUCUCGACUCCUCUUAUCCACAGAAGACAUGUCGUUCGAAUUUCGUCCACGAAUAAUAGGAAGAAAGAGAGGCUCUAACCCAAUUAGCUGGUGGCGCUAGUCUGAUAAGCACCUCAACAUAAAACAAUCAAGUCUCUUUAGGCUGUAACAAAAUUAAAGCCACUAUACGACUGCUUUAGACUGAAACAGCUGCGUCUUAUUAUGACGAUUCGAUACAACUCUUUGAUGCAACUCGCUUUUUAUAAAAUCCACGAAUCAAAAGUACUAUCUAAUUAAUAAAAUCUACUAUGUAAUUAUCUAUCCUAUAUUCUCUCAGAUAAAAUAGGUAGGAGUACAUAAUUAUCAUUAGAUUUGUUUCGCUAAGUAUCAACUAGCUACUUCUAACAUCUAUUUCUUUAUGCUUCUAAAGUUUAUUUUCGGUACCAUGAGUUCAUACGAUGCUCAUCCAUGCGGACAUUAUAUCCGAAUUAAUAAGAUGGAAUCGUUGCUAUUAGUGAAGAUGCAGCGAAUCUUGUAAUUAACGCUGUAAUUUCUGUGACUUGUGAAGUUCACUCAAACACUCCUUCACAUCAGUUCGUCUCGUUAUUCCAACGAAUAUGGUAACGACUAAUUACUCUUUCGUACUUCUUCCCCCUCCAUUACUCUCGCCUCUUGCUAGCAUACUUCCCUAACAUACACACUAGCGGUACAUUAUCUCUUCGCACAUUUCUCUGCUAUUUUCUCUCCCUUUCAUUUCUCCCUUCUCUCCCCCCUCUCUCUCGCCUCUCCCCCGCCUCUCUCUCUCUCUCUCUACCACUUCUUUCUAUUAUCCUUGCGAAAGCAUGGCAGUCAAUGAGUAACUCAUUAAACUUUCGUACUUUACUCAAGAACAAAUCGACUGUCCUUACUUACGUACUUUUCAUAAGUGAUACAAACAAAGUAAAGGCUGUAAGAAAAUAUUUUACAGACUUUCCUCAGGUUUAAUAUCUAAUUAAUCCAAAAGCAUCUUUUCCAAGAUGUCUCUAUGUUUACUCUAGAAACAAGAACGCUCGUAUGUACGAAAGAAGUUGCUCAGUUCUCAUAUCCUUGUCACACGGGCUUCACAAAACUUUUUCCUUCUUCCUUCCUACCAUUUUUUAGGUCCACUAGAGAAAAUUUCGUUAUUGUCACUAGUAGUUGGCUGGAUAGAACGAAAUCGGAAAGAGAGAACGACAGAGAGGCAAUGCUGGCAGUAUCAACGUCCACUACUAGCAAGUACCACCAUCGAAGCUAGCACUGCCAUUGAGAGGAAGUAGAGGAAGAGGUGGAGGAACAGCAGUAGGGUUGUUCCAAGCGUAGAGGGAUUCACUUUAUUGGAGAGUGUUGCCAUCGACAGCCUCGCCCUGUUGGCUGUAGGGGCUCAGAACUAAGCCGUGCGAACAAUGGCAGACCCCCAUGGCGGAUGGCGAGAGAAAGUAAAAAUUAACGAGAAUUCAAGCUCGGCCGGAGCCAUUGAAAAAUUGCCCGGCGUGGUCGCGCGGACCUAGCUGAGCUAUGAAGGAGGUGGCGUCGCUACGAGCCAGUAGCCCUUUUAGACUUGUCGACGGGCACAUUUUUUUACCUGCCUUCUCUUUACUUGCCUCAUAUUCGCGUUUUUAACUUGGUUUAUUUUCAGCAUAAAUGAUGAAACGGCGACAACUUCAUUGCAAUACUGUCAACCCUAUAGAAAAAAAAAAACAAAAAACAAAAUCUCAAGAAAUGAAAAUACGAAUCGUCUUCUUGCGUAAAUUGAUUAAUGAAGCUAUCGCCUAGUGAGAACAGAGUUCACAACAUCGUUCAUCAUCGAUGUACAUACACGUAAAGCAGAAUUCUUCGUCUGCAUCAGAAAAGCGAACCAAUAAAACAUAACUGGAGAUUAUUGGACGAAGAGAAAAUGAUCGAUGAAUUCUAGGAUGUUGGAAAACUCCUUAUUAUUUUCCGGGGUAUCAAGAUCACCGCACGAAAAUGAACAUUAAUUGUGUCAGCAUGGGAUAACGUUUACGCGUAACAUCCCCAUCAAAUUUUUAAGAAAAUAGAUGUUUGAAAUAAUCAAUAAUAACAAAUCUUCUUUUUCUUUAAUUUCAAUGUGAAAUCGAUCGUGAUAGGACUAGAAAGAAGGACAGUUCUUUUUUUUUUCAAAAAAGAAGGAAAUAAGUUCUUGAAAAAGUAAGGUAGAGAAACUUGUUUGGUUGUAUGUUGGUUCGUAACUCGAAAGGUAAGCCUGUCCGUAGGACUACUAGCACGUCCUCCCUUGGGAAUCCCGCGUAUCUGCUUCACGGCACGAGCAAACACGUCGAGAUGAAGGAAGUCUGGCUUCCAUUUCGCAAGACGCGCCGCAGCGAAGCGGAGUAAAUAUUGAUACAGAUCGAACAUCUAAUCGUUCCGGUCUCCCGUUUACCGACAUGCCAUCCAUACAUAUUCGCGAGGGGUGGUAUCGGGCUACCACGAACUAUGUUCGUUUUGCAUGUAUACGUUUCCUCAACGGGUACAUCUUUAUCAGUAAGAGAGAGAGAGAGAGAGGGAGAGAGAAGAAUGGAUAUACGAAACUUGGAUUCGAAAGAAAUCAGCCUGAAAUUUAUGACGCAAUAAUUUGUUCGUCGCAUAGUCUGCUCGACCCCUAAAGAUUUGGCAAUUAUGUCAAAUUAAUUAAAGUCGAUGAAGAAGAAGAAAGAGUAUAAAGAGAUUUUCAUUUUGUGGCUCAUUGUAUUAUUUUUCCUCAUUCACGAUCGAAUCAUGAAAAAUAAAACAUCUAAUUCUAACGACGAUCAUCAACCGAAUGUAUGGAGCAAUCGUGCUGUUUUUUAUCAGAUGGUAUGCUUAAACCAUGCAAGAUUCUUUCCCUCAAAUCUGUAGCUUUGAUUUUACGAAUGAUGUGCGUACGAAAUAUAUCAAAAUGAAAACUAUUUUAUUCAUAGAACAAUUAAAUAGAGUCAAAGGCAAAAGAAGAAUAUGUCACGGACGCACGAAUGAAAACAUACACUUUAACGCGCGUAACGUUUUUAAUAAGGGAUGUUUUUUAUCGGUGUACACACGUUAGACACAAAGAAACGAGAAGAAACUAGGAGAAAAGAGAGACGGGAAAGCUUUGUGACCCAAUCGACGAGGCGGUACGCUAGCUCGCAAUCUCUGGACAUAGCCAAUGCCCUCUUGCCAAUUAGUGUCGUUAUUAAAUUUUUUACCAUCGAUUCCAUUAAAUCCGUAGCCACGCACCCGAGCGUGCUUAAUCUUCUUGUCCAUCGUCUCCAUAUACCCCGGAUAUACUAUAUAAGUACGUUUUAUCGUGUAUCUGAAAGUUCUUGCUGUGCGAUAAGUUAGAGACAGAAGGGGCGGGAAAAGAAAAGAAAAUCCGCGAAAAAUAAAAAGUAAUUUCUCGGCAAACGUGUAAUUAUAAAGAAAGGACUUUUAUGAAUUACGAGGUAACAUUGUAUUGUAAAAUCGAAAUGCCACUCAUCCUAGAUUGGUAUACAUAUGUAUACCAAUACCGACCUUUUAUUUACGACGUACAAAUUAUGACAUAAGAAUAUUUCUUGGAAAGAACAAUGUAUACAAACAUCUAUUGUAGGUCGUUAUGUCGCAACGUGAUGGCUUUGUUUUCGUCUUACUUUGCUACGCUUGUUUCUUUGACGAAUGAAUCAGUCGUGGUCGGGUCGUUGAAGGAAGAAGGUCGUGUGAGAUAGAACUCUAUAAAUCUUCGUUUAUUUCGUUAUUUCCUUUCGGUCUUCUUAAGGCAGUUCCUUAAAAGAACAUUUUCGUCUAUAAAGCACAAGCUAUAAUUAUAUAAUGUCUUAAUUAACAUAAAUGUUAACGAGGUCUGAAGUAAAUAGGUUAGAAAUCUAAUAAUAUUGUGAUGACCUAUAUCUUAGACAACUUUUUAGUGUGUAUCUUUUUAUCAAUAUACAUUUAAAUAUCGACAUAUUUACUCUGUACUAUAUUACUAUACCCUGUACUAAAAUUUCAUAUCAAAGUGCAAAAAGUUAUCAUCGUGAUUCCCAUUCGUUGGACAUAAAUGGAUUUUCCACAUACGUUUUAACGAAAUAGAAAAUUGUUAGGUUUUUUUAAAAAAUCUAUUUUCUCUUUAACCACAUGGUAUAGCUAGCGAAGGCAUAACUUCGACCAUUCCUUCCGUUCAUCCCACUCUUCCACUCACGGGUCCACCCCUUAAAUAUUCUCUGCAGGAUCCGUUACAUGGCAUUCUUCCUUUUCCAUCCUUGGUUCCUUUUUUGCGCGCAAAUCUCGUAAUGUACGCAUGAUCGGGCAACUCUGUCAGCGAGAUACCGCGUGUGGCGGCAGGCCGAUGGCCAUGCAUCUCUCUUUCUCUUCCUUUCUCUUUCUCUUUCUCCCCCCUCCCUUCCUGGUACGUGCGCGCAUUGCCAGAAAUGCUUCACUUCAGGGACUCGAGGGAAAUCAUGUAUGAAGUUCCUCUGUUCCCACCUCCUUCUCUCUCGUUCCGUUUCGACCCUCUCUUCGGUAGGUUCUCUUGCCGGAAAUUCCGUUCGACGACGUACAAUUCGACGGACCGAUGAAAAGGCACAGCCGAGAGAGAGAGAGAGAGAGAGAGAGAGAGAGAGAGAGAGAGAGAGGGAGAGAGAGAGGGAGGGAGAGAAGCGAACGAAAGAGUAGAGAAGAGAGGGAGGAAACGAAAGAGGUGGAGGAGGUACAGAACGUACAAACAAUCGAGUGAAAACGAAUCGCAGAAGGUAGGCGAGACGGAUUCGUUUUCUCUUUUACCUCUUUGUCUGUUCUCCACGGUCUUUUGCAGCUGGUUUUAUCGACCAUUAACUAAUUGCGUAUUCGAGAACAUUCUCGAGCAAAGUGUAUCCUACUGCGAGAAAAAUUCAAAAACACCGUAUGCGACAUCAAAUAAAAAACGGACGAAUAUCAGGAAAUUAUCUACGACAGAAAAAAUAUCAGCAAAUGGAGGGAAGAUGAAGGAAGGGGAAAAAAAGUGAGAGACAAGAAGAAGAACCGCAGUGAUAAUUAUCACUCACAUUUUUACAACACGUCGCUUACGUCCACUGACUUUUUUUCUUGCAUUACUUGCUACUGAGAGUACCCAUCCAUUAGCAAAGCUGUUAAUGGACAAGCUUUCCGGUUCGGAUUACCGGAGCGAAAUUCGUUUUUUUUCCGCUUACGUCUAUUUAUUUCUGUUAUUCUUUAUAUGUAAAUGGUAGGAGAAAAUUCGAGAAAAGAAGUUUUCUACGUCGUGAUAACACCGAGUAAGUAUUGUAAGAUAUUAUAAAUACUUUGUCACAGUUCGUGUGUCUUUUUCCAAACAGAAAUAAAUCUUUAUCGUUAAUAUAUACCGUAAGUAGGACUUACGGAAAGGAAGAAAGAAUAAAGGACAGAAGAAUAAAGGA
Molecule: long non-coding RNA, 13400 nt
Organism: Vespa crabro (European hornet)
Lineage: Eukaryota; Metazoa; Arthropoda; Insecta; Hymenoptera; Vespidae
Exons: 3
Source: RefSeq, a predicted model, not a curated record